UCAUGCAUCUGUCCCUAGCCUACAGUUACUGCACCACUUGUCAAAUGCUGUCAGGCCCUUUUGUAUUUAGACAGUAUUUUUGUGAUUCUGCCUUUGCUUUGCAUUGUAUUUCAUUUAUUCACUUCAAGAACAUUUCAUAGAUUUCUGUCUAUUCCUUGUUUAAUUGGCAAAAGAUUACUAACACACAUAUUAGAAAUCAGGAAGGUGUUUAAUUUUUUUAAAAAAUCAACACUUACUGAACAAACAUUCUGUGAUGUUUAUGUAAAGCUCCAGAGACCAAAUUAUUUUUGUUUCAAGGUGACUUGUCUUGAAACAGUCAUGUGGCAAGCAAAUGACCUGUAUUCCCAGAGGGUGGCAACUUCUCUGUCGGUGGGGACUGCCUUCUUGAUUAAUUUAAGUGGCCACAAAGAGAUUUACAUUAAUCAGCUAAUUCCAAUGUUGUUUUGUUUAACCCCAUCAAGCUAAGUUAUUGAGUUUUGAUAGCACCAACUACAUACAAUGUGAUAAAUUGCAUUCGUUUCAAAUGUUUCAAUGGCUACACUGUUCUGCCCAAAGAUAUGUGUGAAACAUAGUUAUACACUGAUGAGUUGUCCAUUGAAAUCCGAUGACGACGUCUGCUCCUUUAAGGGUGAGAUCUCUGAUGAUUGUACAGUCCUAUCCUGGACCCACAAGUUCUAUUGCAGAGGUUUCUAGUUGGAAAAGAGCCCGAGGAUGCCUGAAGAAUAAAGAGCAGACACGCAAUGGAACAAUUUACCUCUUGUUCUGAAUCAUUAUCCAACUAGGCACAGCUUGUACUUUUGGACUGUGGAUUUCUUCAGACCUACAGUUUUUAUAUUCUGUGUUCUU
Long non-coding RNA from Hypanus sabinus (Atlantic stingray), 846 nucleotides. RefSeq lists it as uncharacterized. The transcript has 3 exons. The record is from RefSeq and is a predicted model, not a curated record. Lineage: Eukaryota; Metazoa; Chordata; Chondrichthyes; Myliobatiformes; Dasyatidae.